ACCAGAGAGAGUUUGUGCCUUCUCUCCUGCUGGUGGACUGUAAGAAGGGGAUUAUAUGUAUGGUGGAAAGGUGGUGGGAGCACAGCCUGUAAACAAAAGCAGCAGAAACAUCUGGCACUGUGCUUUGUCAGAAGAUGGUAUUGGGUGAGAUGGACCACUAGUAUGACCAUUCUUAUGCAGACCCUCAGUUGAGUCUGAUCAGCUCUAGCUUUAAACACUAGAAAGAAGAGGCUCAAAUGGUGUCUGUGAUUCAGAGUUUACACAACCAGGACUGUUCAGAAAGCUGCAAGGAGGUGCAUUCUUCCCAGACCAUCAGAUUACCACUGGCAAUGUUGAAAUGCCAAUAGUGAUUCUGGGAGAUCCAGCCUAUCCCUUGGUCACCUAGCUCAUGAAGCUGUAUGUUGGCCACCUCAACAGCAUCAAAGAAAGAUUCAACUACCAGCUCAGCAGGUGCAGAAAGACUGUUGAAUGUGCUUUUGGUAGACUGGAAGGAUGCUGGCACUGUUUAUUCACUAGAUUGGAUCUUAACAAGGCAAACAUCCCCAUGAUUAUAGCUGCAUGUUGUGUAUUGCGUAAGUUCUGUGAGGCAGAGGGAGAAAAGCUACCCCCAGGGUGGAGGAGCAAGGUGGACCAGCAGCUGUUACUCAAACUAAACAGCCAGACACUAGGGCUAUCAGAAGAUCCAUCCAUGGAAUUACAUGGCUCAGGGAGGCCUUAAAAGUACUUUAACAGUCAGCCACAGUAGUGUUGUCUGUAUUGUGUGGUUUUUUUUUAAAGUCUUGUGCAUACAGGGAUUAAAUAUUAGUGCAUUUUGCCUUCUGCUAUGAAUUCUGUGUUGCUUGGUGUAAACUAAUGAAUAGACUCUGAUUUUUCGAAAAAUAGAAUGUCUUUGUGUGUAAAGAAACAGGCAACACAAUUAAAGUGUAGACAAAAGCCUUUUACGCACACUGUAAGAGGGUGAACUAUACUUUAAAACUUCAAGUAAAAAUAGAAGUAAACAGUGAACAUUUAUGUUCAUGGGAGUAGAACCUACUGCAACAUAAUAGGUUGUGGCUACACAUUCACAGCCCUUUGGCUUUCCCAGGUGGUGUAUGUGUAGCUAUGGUUCUUCUUGUUGUCUCUGGUGUGGAGUGGUGGGAGUCAACAUUCCCUCUAAAUUUUCUUUGUACUGAGGGGGACUACAAACUCCACUGACCACUACAUUUUUGUCUUUAGGCAACAGAGAAUGUGAAUGUUGUAACACUUAAAUUAAACCACUAAAUAAAGAAAACUGGCUGGGAGUGCUAAUAUAAUCAGUGAAAUAUAUAUUGUGCAUAUAUUCAUAUGCAUGAAAUCAGUGUGUUUAUUAAAAACUACAUAUUAACAGAAAAUACAAAAUAAAAGCAAAUAAUAUUAAAUCAAGUGCCUGGCAGAUACUAUACAUGUACCUGCACUGAAGUCAGUUUCACAUUUAAUGAACAUGAUUUACUCAUUAUGCGGGAAAUUUUUCAUCUGUAUUUCUCAAUUGUCCAGUAGUGGUAAACUUUGUCCAAGUUGACAUCUCCAUGUGCUAUGAGGAAGUGGGUUUAUUUUUACAAACUGGUUCAUAUGGUUAACCUCUAGUCUGUUGCAAGACUUAGUUUUGAUCUGACUCAUUAAACUAAACCCACCUUCAUAGUCAGCAUUUGAGGCUCAACAAACUGAGCCAGGACUGAUUUUCUUUCAGCAAGUAAGUUACCAUGUCAACAAAUGUUGUUAUAUCCACUUUCAUUUUUUCCACAAGGAUAAAUUUAUCCUGGGUGUACUGCUUGCAGAUGCAUUGUUGUUGAUCCAUUGGUUUUCAGUGGUAGAUUAAAGACUGCUUCAUACUUGCUCAUGAUAUGACUAACAUGUUCUGUGCUGUAAUCAAAUUAGGCAGAAACAAGUGCUACAGUAUCAAACGCAGGCCACUCUUGCAGCUCAUUCUCUGGAAAUCAACAAUCUAAAUGGUCACAGAGUUCUGCACUAAAGUGGAGAACACCUGCUACAUUAACAGUAUUGGCAAGAGAUGCCCUUUGUUCCCUCACCUUCUCACUCCAAAGAGCUUUUUCUCCAAGUCACUGAGCAAAAUUUUGCUAUUCUAGCCUUAAUGUAGCUCAGUGGUUCCCAAACUUUUUGUAUUGGUGACCCCUUUCGCACAGCAAGCCUCUGAGUGCAAC
Mauremys mutica (yellowpond turtle) is the source of this 2177-nucleotide long non-coding RNA. RefSeq lists it as uncharacterized. NCBI's taxonomy places the organism in Eukaryota, Metazoa, Chordata, Testudines, Geoemydidae. The transcript has 3 exons. The record is from RefSeq and is a predicted model, not a curated record.